UGCUUAGACAUAAAUUGUUCAAUAUUGAUACAUCAUCAGAAGCCCUCUUGACUGCAUAAUUCCUAAACUUCUUUUUGAAUAGAACUUGUUUGUCGAUGAACAUGUUAAAUUCCGGCGGAUAAUCAACAUCUUUGUUUGCCUGUCCCUAAACACGAAUAAACAGCAUGUUUCAAAGCUUACUAUCACUGCUAAAUUGCCUUUCUGAAUACUUACAGCUUUGCAUUAUAAAUGAAAACGUUCGUUACCUGCCCAAACGAAUCAUCAAAUCUUGAACAUUGUAUCCAAAGCAUAUGAGACAAUCUGA
This 304-nucleotide long non-coding RNA is filed under the name Medicago truncatula (barrel medic). Its description in RNAcentral is "long non-coding RNA (MTRU_LNC003727)". Lineage: Eukaryota; Viridiplantae; Streptophyta; Magnoliopsida; Fabales; Fabaceae. The record is from RNAcentral.